GACGAACGCUGGCGGCGUGCCUAAUACAUGCAAGUAGAACGCUGAAGAGAGGAGCUUGCUCUUCUUGGAUGAGUUGCGAACGGGUGAGUAACGCGUAGGUAACCUGCCUGGUAGCGGGGGAUAACUAUUGGAAACGAUAGCUAAUACCGCAUGAUAUUAAUUGUUGCAUGAUAAUUAAUUGAAAGAUGCAAUUGCAUCACUACCAGAUGGACCUGCGUUGUAUUAGCUAGUUGGUGAGGUAACGGCUCACCAAGGCGACGAUACAUAGCCGACCUGAGAGGGUGAUCGGCCACACUGGGACUGAGACACGGCCCAGACUCCUACGGGAGGCAGCAGUAGGGAAUCUUCGGCAAUGGGGGGAACCCUGACCGAGCAACGCCGCGUGAGUGAAGAAGGUUUUCGGAUCGUAAAGCUCUGUUGUAAGAGAAGAACGAGUGUGAGAGUGGAAAGUUCACACUGUGACGGUAUCUUACCAGAAAGGGACGGCUAACUACGUGCCAGCAGCCGCGGUAAUACGUAGGUCCCGAGCGUUGUCCGGAUUUAUUGGGCGUAAAGCGAGCGCAGGCGGUUAGAUAAGUCUGAAGUUAAAGGCUGUGGCUUAACCAUAGUAUGCUUUGGAAACUGUUUAACUUGAGUGCAGAAGGGGAGAGUGGAAUUCCAUGUGUAGCGGUGAAAUGCGUAGAUAUAUGGAGGAACACCGGUGGCGAAAGCGGCUCUCUGGUCUGUAACUGACGCUGAGGCUCGAAAGCGUGGGGAGCAAACAGGAUUAGAUACCCUGGUAGUCCACGCCGUAAACGAUGAGUGCUAGGUGUUAGGCCCUUUCCGGGGCUUAGUGCCGCAGCUAACGCAUUAAGCACUCCGCCUGGGGAGUACGACCGCAAGGUUGAAACUCAAAGGAAUUGUCGGGGGCCCGCACAAGCGGUGGAGCAUGUGGUUUAAUUCGAAGCAACGCGAAGAACCUUACCAGGUCUUGACAUCCCUCUGACCGCUCUAGAGAUAGAGUUUUCCUUCGGGACAGAGGUGACAGGUGGUGCAUGGUUGUCGUCAGCUCGUGUCGUGAGAUGUUGGGUUAAGUCCCGCAGCGAGCGCAACCCCUAUUGUUAGUUGCCAUCAUUGAGUUGGGCACUCUAGCGAGACUGCCGGUAAUAAACCGGAGGAAGGUGGGGAUGACGUCAAAUCAUCAUGCCCCUUAUGACCUGGGCUACACACGCGCUACAAUGGCUGGUACAACGAGUCGCAAGCCGGUGACGGCAAGCUAAUCUCUGAAAGCCAGUCUCAGUUCGGAUUGUAGGCUGCAACUCGCCUACAUGAAGUCGGAAUCGCUAGUAAUCGCGGAUCAGCACGCCGCGGUGAAUACGUUCCCGGGCCU
RNAcentral lists this ribosomal RNA (1369 nucleotides) under uncultured bacterium. RNAcentral's name for it is "bacterial SSU rRNA". It matches the Rfam family "Bacterial small subunit ribosomal RNA", at positions 28 to 1381 of the family's 1533-position model. The record is from RNAcentral.